AGAUGCCGGUGGAAAUAUAAUAUCAAAUACAGGUGAUUUAGUCAAAGGAGUUGCUGAAACAGCUGGAGAUCUGACAAAUUCAUUAGUUGGUGGAGAAAAACCAGGAUUAAUACCAAGUAUAUUAGGUG
Molecule: long non-coding RNA, 128 nt
Organism: Bufo bufo (common toad)
Lineage: Eukaryota; Metazoa; Chordata; Amphibia; Anura; Bufonidae
Exons: 3
Source: RefSeq, a predicted model, not a curated record